AAAUGACCUGCAGGAGGAAAAGUAGCACACAUGGCUGUGGAAUGUAAAGGGGUUCUUCCUGCUAUCCUGCUUGGGCUGACUUCAUUCUGCUACCCUGCCAGGAUGCCACUCGUCUCUCCAGUUGUCUUCCUGCACCACGGGAGGAUGGAACACCAAACUUCAGAGUCUGACAGGGGAAAGGUAGUGGAGGGUGAGCAGAUGACAGUGCAGAGUCCUUCUCUGCCCCAGCUGCAGAAUGAGGGAUCUGGAGUGGAGCAGUUCCACUCUCUGUUGGCUCCUGUUAAUUGGGACGCAGCUUUGAACUCAGUGCUUGUGCCUCAGGCCUAUGUGCUAUUAUUUCAGCCUUCCACAACACACAGACCUGGAAUGCGUGCUGUCAAUCUGUAUUCAUGCCAACCAAGUGCAAACAGAGCAAACUGCCUGAGAGCAGGGAAGGACACUGAUGUCUGCAAGGACACCAGGCACUGUGUGGCAGCUUCACCUGCUCUGCACAGACUUCCCCACUGAAGAGAAAAUGUCACCCCUUGGUUCCACUUCAACCUGCAAGAAAUGAGAUUUCCCAAGCCACUAGCCAACUGCGUCAUAACUAGGAGCAGUGGUGGGUUCAUCUCUUCUUUAGCAUCUUUAGCAUCUAUUUUCUAAAUACAACAUUGCUCAGUCCUUCUCACACAAGACCUCUUGCUAACUUCCGUUUUUUCCCCCUUAAAUAAAUCUUGCCAUUCAAAAUCA
This 729-nucleotide long non-coding RNA is filed under the name Zonotrichia albicollis (white-throated sparrow). RNAcentral describes it as "lncRNA (ENSZALG00000013146.1)". Lineage: Eukaryota; Metazoa; Chordata; Aves; Passeriformes; Passerellidae. The record is from RNAcentral.